GACGAACGCUGGCGGCGUGCUUAACACAUGCAAGUCGAACGGAAAGGCCCUGCUUUUGUGGGGGGCUCGAGUGGCGAACGGGUGAGUAACAGGUGAGUAACCUGCCCUUGACUUUGGGAUAACUUAGGGAAACUGGGGCUAAUACCGGAUAGGAGCUCCUGCUGAAUGGUGGGGGUUGGAAAGUUUCGGCGGUUGGGGAUGGACUCGCGGCUUAUCAGCUUGUUGGUGGGGUAGUGGCUUACCAAGGCUUUGACGGGUAGCCGGCCUGAGAGGGUGACCGGCCACAUUGGGACUGAGAUACGGCCCAGACUCCUACGGGAGGCAGCAGUGGGGAAUAUUGCACAAUGGGCGGAAGCCUGAUGCAGCAACGCCGCGUGCGGGAUGACGGCCUUCGGGUUGUAAACCGCUUUCGCCUGUGACGAAGCGUGAGUGACGGUAAUGGGUAAAGAAGCACCGGCUAACUACGUG
This 468-nucleotide ribosomal RNA is filed under the name uncultured bacterium. RNAcentral's name for it is "partial 16S ribosomal RNA". It matches the Rfam family "Bacterial small subunit ribosomal RNA", at positions 28 to 507 of the family's 1533-position model. The record is from RNAcentral.